Molecule: transfer RNA, 73 nt
Filed under: Deltaproteobacteria bacterium
Lineage: Bacteria; Pseudomonadati; Myxococcota; Myxococcia
Description: tRNA-Lys
Rfam family: tRNA
About the family: Transfer RNA (tRNA) molecules are approximately 80 nucleotides in length. Their secondary structure includes four short double-helical elements and three loops (D, anti-codon, and T loops).
Source: RNAcentral
GGGCCGUUCACUCAGGAGGUAGCGUAUCUGCCUUUUAAGCAGAGAGUCGUGGGUUCGAGUCCCGCACGGCCCA